CAGAAAUGCAGCUUUUCCUUUCUCUUGGAUUAUUUGCUUGGGAUAAAUUUCCCACAGAUAACAUCUCAUGUUAAAUGAGUUUUGAUACAGGAUGCCAAGUAGUUUUUCAACAGGAUUGCAUAUUUCCAUUGUGUUUGCCCAGAAUGAACUAAUUUCACCACACCCUUUUCUGUGUUGGAUGCUAUUACAUUUUUUAAACCUAAACAAUUCUAAUUUUAUUAGACUCUAUAUUUGUAUUUGUAUAGUUUUCCCUUUCUCUUUUUAGAGCCGAAAAUCCAAAUAAGAGAGUAGUCAAAGUUGGUAACAUGAACCUCUGAAUCAACAGAUGAGCCAGCUGGGCGCCCAGGGGUGAGGGGAGGAGCAGGUGUGCUCAUUCAUCCCUGCAGUUCUGGGAACAAGAGGGCUGGCUCUGUGAGAAGGGACGGGAGCAGCAGGUCCAGCCCCAGCCGGGGGUUCAAGUUUAAAAGGUCUCCCUAUGCAUGGACAAGAAGCCGUUGCUUCUAGAAAAGGCGUAUGUGUCCCAAGCCAAUGGAAAGAAGACUUUCAGGACCCCCAGCUCUAUCUAAGCAUUACAGAUAAGAAGAAAGCUUGCUCUAAGAGGAGAGUUAAGGUGAGAGACUUUCAAGUAUGAAUACGCAGAACUCCAUCCAGCUGGAAAGAGAGGAUCCGAACUGGCGAAAUCCUGGGCUGCCAAAGUGGAGCGCACGAACUUAACCACUCGGCCAUGGGGCCAGCCCUAGGAGCCAGCAUUUUUUUAAUGGAAUGUCAUGGAUUGGAGUGCAUCACAUUCCGCCCGUACAUAGUUGUAGAUUCUAGUUGCAAGUCCUUCUGAAGUGCUAUGUGGGAACACCACCUCAGCAUGGCUUGAUGAGCGGUGCCAUGUCCACACCCAGGAUCCAAACCAGCAAAACCCUGGGCAGCUGAAGCGGAGUGUAC
This 936-nucleotide long non-coding RNA is filed under the name Equus asinus (donkey). Its description in RNAcentral is "lncRNA (ENSEASG00005037233.1)". The record is from RNAcentral. Lineage: Eukaryota; Metazoa; Chordata; Mammalia; Perissodactyla; Equidae.